UACGGGGGGGGCAAGCGUUGUUCGGAAUUACUGGGCGUGAAGGGCUCGUAGGCGGCCAACUAAGUCAGACGUGAAAUCCCUCGGCUUAACCGGGGAACUGCGUCUGAUACUGGAUGGCUUGAGAUUGGGAGAGGGAUGCGGAAUUCCAGGUGUAGCGGUGAAAUGCGUAGAUAUCUGGAGGAACACCGGUGGCGAAGGCGGCAUCCUGGACCGGCAUUGACGCUGAGGCGCGAAAGCCAGGGGAGCAAACGGG
This 253-nucleotide ribosomal RNA is filed under the name uncultured bacterium. Its description in RNAcentral is "partial 16S ribosomal RNA". It matches the Rfam family "Bacterial small subunit ribosomal RNA", at positions 524 to 776 of the family's 1533-position model. The record is from RNAcentral.